GAUGAAGAACGUAGCGAAAUGCGAUACGUAAUGUGAAUUGCAGAAUUCAGUGAAUCAUCGAGUCUUUGAACGCACAUUGCGCCCCCUGGUAUUCCGGGGGGCAUGCCUCUUCCAGCGUCAUUUCACCCCUCAAGCUCUGCUUGGUUUUGGGCCGCGCCGGCAACGGCGGGCCUCGAAAAUAGUGGCGACGCCAUCGUGCUCUCAGCGUAGUAAUUCUUCUCGCUGUUGGGUCCCGGUGGUCGUCCGCCAGCAACCCCCAACUUUCUUAAGUUUGACCUGGGAUGAGGUAGGGAUACCCGCUGAACUUAAGCAUAUCAAUAAGCGGAGGA
RNAcentral lists this unclassified non-coding RNA (329 nucleotides) under soil metagenome. RNAcentral describes it as "partial contains 5.8S ribosomal RNA, internal transcribed spacer 2, and large subunit ribosomal RNA". The stretch from base 1 to 120 matches the Rfam family "5.8S ribosomal RNA", at positions 35 to 154 of the family's 154-position model. The record is from RNAcentral.